This 604-nucleotide ribosomal RNA is filed under the name uncultured fungus. Its description in RNAcentral is "eukaryotic LSU rRNA". The stretch from base 248 to 401 matches the Rfam family "5.8S ribosomal RNA". Lineage: Eukaryota; Fungi. The record is from RNAcentral.
AAGUCGUAACAAGGUCUCCGUUGGUGAACCAGCGGAGGGAUCAUUACCGAGUUUACAACUCCCAAACCCCCUGUGAACUUAUACCAUUACUGUUGCUUCGGCGGGUUAUUGCCCCGGGGAAAGGACCAGGUGCCGUCAAGGUUCCCUGCCCGCCCCCGGAAACAGGCGCCUGCCGGGGGACUCAAACUCUUCUGUAUUUUUUAUUUUACUGUUAUACUGUCUGAGUACAAAACUAUAAAUGAAUCAAAACUUUCAACAACGGAUCUCUUGGUUCUGGCAUCGAUGAAGAACGCAGCGAAAUGCGAUAAGUAAUGUGAAUUGCAGAAUUCAGUGAAUCAUCGAAUCUUUGAACGCACAUUGCGCCCGCCAGUAUUCUGGCGGGCAUGCCUGUUCGAGCGUCAUUUCAACCCUCAAGCUCUGCUUGGCGUUGGGGAUCGGCAGCCCGGCUUCGCGCCGCGCCGUCCCCCAAAUACAGUGGCGGUCUCGCUGCAGCUUCCUUUGCGUAGUAGCACACCUCGCACCGGAGAGCAGCGCGGCCACGCCGUAAAACCCCCGACUUCUUGUUUUUGACCUCGAAUCAGGUAGGACUACCCGCUGAACUUAA